UUGAGGACUCAGUGACGCAGCUAACGCAAUAAGUAGACCGCCUGGGGAGUACGGCCGCAAGGUUAAAACUCAAAUGAAUUGACGGGGGCCCGCACAAGCGGUGGAGCAUGUGGUUUAAUUCGAUGCAACGCGAAGAACCUUACCUGGUCUUGACAUAUCUAGAAUCCUGCAGAGAUGCGGGAGUGCCUUCGGGAAUUAGAAUACAGGUGCUGCAUGGCUGUCGUCAGCUCGUGUCGUGAGAUGUUGGGUUAAGUCCCGCAACGAGCGCAACCCUUGUCCUUAGUUACCAGCGGGUUAAGCCGGGAACUCUAAGGAUACUGCCAGUGACAAACUGGAGGAAGGCGGGGACGACGUCAAGUCAUCAUGGCCCUUACGACCAGGGCUACACACGUGCUACAAUGGUAGGUACAGAGGGCAGCUACACAGCGAUGUGAUGCGAA
This 440-nucleotide ribosomal RNA is filed under the name Psychrobacter sp. RNAcentral's name for it is "bacterial SSU rRNA". It matches the Rfam family "Bacterial small subunit ribosomal RNA", at positions 832 to 1271 of the family's 1533-position model. Lineage: Bacteria; Pseudomonadati; Pseudomonadota; Gammaproteobacteria; Moraxellales; Moraxellaceae. The record is from RNAcentral.